RNAcentral lists this ribosomal RNA (467 nucleotides) under uncultured bacterium. Its description in RNAcentral is "partial 16S ribosomal RNA". It matches the Rfam family "Bacterial small subunit ribosomal RNA", at positions 29 to 507 of the family's 1533-position model. The record is from RNAcentral.
ACGCACGCUGGCGGCGUGCUUAACACAUGCAAGUCGAACGGAAAGGCCCUGCUUUUGUGGGGUGCUCGAGUGGCGAACGGGUGAGUAACACGUGAGUAACCUGCCCUUGACUUUGGGAUAACUUCAGGAAACUGGGACUAAUACCGGAUAGGAGCUCCUGCUGCAUGGUGGGGGUUGGAAAGUUUCGGCGGUUGGGGAUGGACUCGCGGCUUAUCAGCUUGUUGGUGGGGUAGUGGCUUACCAAGGCUUUGACGGGUAGCCGGCCUGAGAGGGUGACCGGCCACAUUGGGACUGAGAUACGGCCCAGACUCCUACGGGAGGCAGCAGUGGGGAAUAUUGCACAAUGGGCGGAAGCCUGAUGCAGCAACGCCGCGUGCGGGAUGACGGCCUUCGGGUUGUAAACCGCUUUCGCCUGUGACGAAGCGUGAGUGGCGGUAAUGGGUAAAGAAGCACCGGCUAACUACGUG